RNAcentral lists this non-coding RNA (45 nucleotides) under Trichobilharzia regenti. Lineage: Eukaryota; Metazoa; Platyhelminthes; Trematoda; Strigeidida; Schistosomatidae. The record is from RNAcentral.
AUCCAGCUGGUGAGUCCAAAAUAGGACGAAAUCUGCAUCCUGGAU